RNAcentral lists this long non-coding RNA (1375 nucleotides) under Cicer arietinum (chickpea). RNAcentral describes it as "long non-coding RNA (CARI_LNC001351)". Lineage: Eukaryota; Viridiplantae; Streptophyta; Magnoliopsida; Fabales; Fabaceae. The record is from RNAcentral.
UCCUUUCUACCUCUAAAAUCCCCCUUUAGUCAUCAUUUAAAUUGAGGAAUAGCUGCAUGAAUCAUCACAAGCUCAUUAAAGAUUUCAAUAGAACAUGCAUAAUCAUUAUCCCCAAAUGUUCACAUACAGAGAGGGGAAAAACAAGAAAACACUUUAACUUAGUUUUAGUUAGAUUUGAAAUUCUAAGAACAUCAUAUAGAGAUUUUUAGUUGGAUAUUAUAUCUUACUCUUGAAAUCCUCUAUAGGAGGUUGUGAACCCUAACUUUUUUCUUUAACAAAAUAUCUUCUUUCUGUCUCUCUCACGUUCCUCAAUUUCUUAUUUCAUGGAAGCUAAAGACCUUGAUGCAAGAAACACAUCACUUUAUCUUCAUGCCCUUAGCUCCCUUUUCUUUCCUUUCCAUUUCUGAUUUUGUUUGGAAAGAAAAGUGAGGCAAGAAAGAAGGAGAAUGCGUGUGAGUUUAUUGGGUAUGAAUUUUUUAGUGAGAUACAUGUUGUAUUUUUGUGGAAAUGAAUAAGAAGGUGAGAAUUGAAAAACUAAGUGUGAUGAGUGUCUGUGAUGAGUCAUCAUCGAUUCUUGUUUUUAACCAUUUUAUUACUAGUUUUAUUUAUUUUCUUUUGGAUUUAUAGUUAUUUUAAUAAAUAAAAGGAAUUUUAAUCUUUUUUGAAUGAAUUUGGAUGUUUUACUACUACUUUUUUGUAACCAGACAAACUCUUGGAAUUUUUUUUUUUUUUUUGUGAUGUUACAGAUCAGUUACAUUGCAAAAUGGACACUCGAGAAGUUAUAAAGUGUUACUGCACACACAAGAUGGUUCCUAGAGUUCUAAAUUGUCUUUCAUUGAAGUAUGGAGUGCAAUAGGAAAGAAUAAGGGUGCAAUGCAUCAAUUCUUCCACAUAAGUUCAUUUGUUCGCACAACUCUCUGCCUCUGAGCGUAGAAGAGCUAUCUCAUAGUGCAUUGUGUAGGAUUCUUGCAAAAUCAUUUUUAAAAGUAGCAACACAUUGCAAUAUUAUCUGGAACAAUGCAAAAGCACACAUUUCCAUAUUCUAUUUAACUCAAAAAUCAUUAUUUGGAUGCAAAAGGAAGAGACAACUACACCUUAAUGAAGUGGUUGUGAAACCUCUUUGUGUAAUAAUCUUCUUUCUCUUUAUAAAUUACCAACCAUUAUGAGUAGCUAAUUUACUCAUUGAUUAGGGAUUAGAUGAACCUUCUUGAAUAUAGAUGAUUUUUGUUAGUAAUGCUUAUUGUUAAUGGAAUAUAAAGUAUUAACAUGUUUUUAAGAAAUUAACAUUUGCACAUGCUUGAGUAACAAGCCUGAUCAUCUAAGAAAUUAAAGUUUGUUGUUAUAAAAAAAGGAUUUUGAGCCAAGGAAUCAGUCU